This 467-nucleotide ribosomal RNA is filed under the name uncultured bacterium. RNAcentral describes it as "partial 16S ribosomal RNA". It matches the Rfam family "Bacterial small subunit ribosomal RNA", at positions 28 to 506 of the family's 1533-position model. The record is from RNAcentral.
GACGAACGCUGGCGGCGUGCUUAACACAUGCAAGUCGAACGGAAAGGCCCUGCUUUUGUGGGGUGCUCGAGUGGCGAACGGGGGAGUAACACGUGAGUAACCUCCCCUUGACUUUGGGAUAACUUCAGGAAACUGGGGCUAUUACCGGAUAUGAGCUCCUGCUGCAUGGUGGGGGUUGGAAAGUUUCGGCGUUUGGGGAUGGACUCGCGGCUUAUCAGCUUGUUGGUGUGGUAGUGGCGUACCAAGGAUUUGACGGGUAGCCGGCCUGAGAGGGUGACCGGCCACAUAGGGACUGGGAUACGGCCCAGACUCCUACGGGAGGCAGCAGUGGGGAAUAUUGCACAAUGGGCGGAGGCAUGAUGCAGCAACGCCGCGUGCGGGAUGACGGCUUUCGGGGUGUAAACCGCUUUCGCCUGUGACGAAGCGUGAGUAACGGUAAUGGGUAAAGAAGCACCGGCUACCUACGU